GUGCACUGCCACAUGCAGAGCCUAUGUGUGUC
This 32-nucleotide non-coding RNA is filed under the name Mus musculus (house mouse). Lineage: Eukaryota; Metazoa; Chordata; Mammalia; Rodentia; Muridae. The record is from RNAcentral.